This 252-nucleotide ribosomal RNA is filed under the name uncultured Bacteroidales bacterium. RNAcentral describes it as "partial 16S ribosomal RNA". It matches the Rfam family "Bacterial small subunit ribosomal RNA", at positions 524 to 776 of the family's 1533-position model. The record is from RNAcentral. Lineage: Bacteria; Pseudomonadati; Bacteroidota; Bacteroidia; Bacteroidales.
UACGGAGGAUGCGAGCGUUAUCCGGAUUUAUUGGGUUUAAAGGGUGCGCAGGCGGAUUUUUAAGUCAGCGGUCAAAUCGUGGGGCUCAACCCCAUCCAGCCGUUGAAACUGGGGAUCUAGAGUGUGCGAGAGGUAUGCGGAAUGCGUGGUGUAGCGGUGAAAUGCAUAGAUAUACGGAGGAACACCAGUGGCGAAGGCGGCCUGCUGGACAAUAACUGACGCUGAGGCGCGAAAGCGUGGGGAGCAAACAGG